UCCGCGCAGGCGCAGUGCGAUCUUUGGGCGGUGUGUCAUGGCGGCGGCUCUGAGCGGGAUGUUUACAAACCAGCCGCCGGGAGCGCCUCCCCCUCCGCUCCCUCCUGGCGGCCCCGGCCAGGCCGGCCUCCUCCCGGCCUCCGCGGGACCGCGCAACCCCAACAGCACGCUGGUGGACGAGCUAGAAGCGUCCUUUGAGGCUUGCUUUGCUUCACUUGUGAGUCAGGAUUAUGUGAAUGGCACAGAUCAGGAAGAAAUUAGAACUGGUGUUGAUCAAUGUAUCCAGAAAUUUCUGGAUGUUGCGAGACAAACUGAAUGUUUUUUCCUACAAAAAAGAUUACAUCUGUCUGUCCAGAAACCAGAGUUAGUUAUUAAAGAGCCUUUCAAAAUUGGGUAUUUCUGCUUUGUGAUAGCUGGAAUGAAUAUAGGAGCAUGGAGAAACAAGGUGGGUGAGGCAGAAAUAAGCAAGUCCCAUAAGGAGAAAGAGAGCCAAAUUCUUUUCUGAUUUAGGCUCUGAUUCAACAUGCCAUGAGCUUCUCAGCAUCUUGCAGGAUUGGGCUCUAUGUUUGGAAAAUAUAGACUGUCCAGUUUGGCCGAUGUACAUAGCAGAGAGGCAACACUCGAUGCGGAAACUACAGAACCCGAACCACCAAAAAAGAAAAUCAACCAUCUGUUGGUGGCAUUUUACUCAGAUAAUGAAAAUGAACAUGGAUUGGUUUGAAGUGCUUUGGAUUGUUAUCGAGCAGAAUCCGUCAUCAGCAUGGAUGCAUAUCCCCUGGAAUGGUGGUUGAAGCAUGAAGGGACAUAUGAAUCUUUAGCCAUCUGGCACGUAAAUAUCUUGCGAUGCUGGCUACAACAGUGCCAUGAGAAUGCCUGUUCUCACUUUCAGGUGACAUUGUAAACAAGAAGCAGGCAGCAUCUCCUGCAAAGGUAAACAAACUUGUUUGUCUGAGCGACUGGCUGAACAAGAAGUAGGACUGGACUUCCAAGCUCUAAAAUUUUACAUUGUUUUAUUUUUGAAUGCUGGUUUUUUUGUAAAUAAUUCUACAUUUGUAAGUUUAACUUUUGUGAUAGAGAUUACACUACAGUACUUGUAUUAGAUGAAGUGAAAAAUACAAUUUCUUUUGUUUUUUCAUAGUACAAAUAUUUGCAACAAAAAUAAAGUGAGCACUGUGCACUUUG
Molecule: RNA transcript, 1182 nt
Organism: Gopherus flavomarginatus (Mexican gopher tortoise)
Lineage: Eukaryota; Metazoa; Chordata; Testudines; Testudinidae
Gene: MED28
Gene name: mediator complex subunit 28
Exons: 7
Source: RefSeq, a predicted model, not a curated record